GCCCCCAUCUUCUAGCGGUCCAGGCUGCACGCCUUUCAAGCGUUGCGACGCGGGUUCGAAUCCCGCUGGGGGCACCA
RNAcentral lists this transfer RNA (77 nucleotides) under uncultured bacterium. RNAcentral describes it as "tRNA-Glu". It matches the Rfam family "tRNA". Rfam says of the family: Transfer RNA (tRNA) molecules are approximately 80 nucleotides in length. Their secondary structure includes four short double-helical elements and three loops (D, anti-codon, and T loops). Further hydrogen bonds mediate the characteristic L-shaped molecular structure. tRNAs have two regions of fundamental functional importance: the anti-codon, which is responsible for specific mRNA codon recognition, and the 3' end, to which the tRNAs corresponding amino acid is attached (by aminoacyl-tRNA synthetases). tRNAs cope with the degeneracy of the genetic code in two manners: having more than one tRNA (with a specific anti-codon) for a particular amino acid; and 'wobble' base-pairing, i.e. permitting non-standard base-pairing at the 3rd anti-codon position. The record is from RNAcentral.